GACGAACGCUGGCGGCGCGCCUAACACAUGCAAGUCGAACGAGCGCGCGAUAGCUUGCUUUUUCAAGCGAGUGGCGGACGGGUGCGUAAGGGGUGAGGAACCUGCCCUACAGUGUCGGACAACAGUUGGAAACGACACCUACUACCGCAUAGGCCCCCGCCCCGGCGUCGGGUCGAGGGAACUGGUGCCAUCCGCCUUGUGAUGGCGGCGCUUCCGAUUUGAUAGUUGGUGAGGGAACGGCCCACCCAGGCCACGGACGGUAGCCUGGCAGGGAGGUUGGACGGCCACAUUGGGACUGAGACACGGCCCAGACUACUACGGGAGGCAGGAGUGGGGAAUAUAGCACAAUGGGGGAAGCCCUGAUGCAGCGAGGCUGGGUGGAGGAAGAAGGUCGUAGAGAUGUACACUCCGGUUGUAGAGGAAGAUAAUGACGGUACUCAACAAGGAAGUGACGGCUAACUACGUG
RNAcentral lists this ribosomal RNA (466 nucleotides) under uncultured bacterium. RNAcentral describes it as "partial 16S ribosomal RNA". It matches the Rfam family "Bacterial small subunit ribosomal RNA", at positions 28 to 507 of the family's 1533-position model. The record is from RNAcentral.